This is a long non-coding RNA of Homo sapiens (human), 2105 nucleotides long. Ensembl annotates it as small nucleolar RNA host gene 28. Its record names the gene SNHG28. The record is from Ensembl. NCBI's taxonomy places the organism in Eukaryota, Metazoa, Chordata, Mammalia, Primates, Hominidae.
GAGGACGUGGCCCUGGCGCCCUGCACCGCCGCCGCCGCCUGCGAAGCGGGCCCCUCCCCGGUCUACGUCAAGGUCAAGAGCGCGGAGCCGGCUGACUGCGCCGAGGGGCCGGUGCAGUGCAAGAACGGCCUCUUGGUCUCCAGCCCACACUGUGAAGAGCCUUGUGCCCACAGCUGUGCACAUCCUGGGCUUCCUCCACACCUUGUCCAUAAACUGCCCCUCAGCUACCUUCAGACCCAGGAUACAGAGGCCCUUCCUUCAGGCUGCAUGCAGAACAGAUGCAGGUAGCCAUGAAGCCAAAUCUGGAAGGAGAUGAUGCUUCCUCUGAAGAUCAGAGAACAGAUGCAAAAACUAUUGCUCAAGGAAAAUAAAGUGAAAACGAGGAAAAGCAAAAGAAGAUCUGGAGAGGGCUCUCACCUGACCACAAGCAUCCUGGAGCAAUGAGUUUCAGGCAGGAAGACUCAUCCUGAGCUGAGCUGCUUUUCUUGAAGUUGUGCAAGAACGUCCUGUUGGCUGGGGCAAAUUCAGUAUUUCUUUUCCUGGCCACUGUGCUGGAGCGUGAGGAAAGACUCUCCACCCUCACUCCCAGAUCCUGCAGGAGGCGUGAGAGCGGAUGGAGAUGGUGAGGAUGUCUAUUAAUAUGGUGUUUCCUGCAAAACGGUGCCCAUCUCAACCAUGGGUUGUCAACCAUCCUCGGUGUCUACAACUGCAAUUUACCUUUGAGGGCCCAUGAACUCUGAUUACCUGAAAGUCCUUAGGCCAGAAAGAGAAACCCCUGUCCCCCACCUCUCACUUUCACCUAUUUCUAGACCUUUUCUUACAGCAAUGCCUUGGCCCUCAGGAAGCAUCAGAUCUCAAACUGCAGGGUCUGGGGCUGAAGCUGAUGCUGGCAUGGGUGACUCAGAGUUCCUCUAUUAGUUCAAAUAUGUAAUAUCUUUUAGAGCCUAGGACUCAGGCUGGAGGCAAUUCCUUGGUGCCAGUUGGUUAAUACUUUAUGAAUAGUGGUGGGGGAGGGAAUGCCUUGGACUAUUAAUGUCCCCAUGGAUCUGGAUCCUGGAGAACUUCCAGUGUCCUGGAUGGAAUGUUCUGCUUGGCUCAUCUUGCCCAGAGAAGAGCCAGGAUAUGAGAAGAUGGGAGAGGGAAGGGGGAGGUGUGAAACGUGCUGGUGCUUCCUGUCCUCGUGGUGUGAUGGCUGCCCAGGCUGCUCCUUCGAGGCAGGACAGGAUUCCCAUGGGAGAUAUGAGGACCAUGGUGAUUUCCAGGCACCAGUUAUGUCCCAGAGCAUCGUGUGCCUGUGCAGUGGGGUUACUGAUAGUCCAGGCAUCAGUUCAUAUUGUCCUUUAUGGCAGAUCCUGCACAAGGGGGUUCUCUGUCUCUGGACCCACUCUGUCAGCAUGGACAUCCUUUUUCUUUUUCCCUGGUAAGGACAUCAGAAAGAAAGUUACCCCUCCAGUGUUUGGAGUCUUGGAAUCCUUGGCCUGCCUGCAGGCCUCUGAAUCCUCAGUGUGUUAGCCCAAGGUCACCUUAGGUAAAGGAACAUUUCUCCUGGUCUUCCAACACCCUGGAAAGGGAGGCUCUUCAAGAAUAGGAAAUUCUUCCUAGUAUCUAACCUUGGCCUGCAACUAUGCCAUACAUUUAAUUGUAGAAGGUAUGGAAAGUUAGGACUGUGGUGGACCCAGUUAAAUCACUGGACAGAAGCCAUGAGGCAGAGCCAGAACCAGCUUCUGGACUCCCUGCAUGGAGCUUUCUACUAUCCCAGGUUGUUGGGUCCCUUCUCAGUGGCCAAAGAUGCUAUUUUAUGAGCCUUGAGGACAUGACACUAAGUGAAAAAAGCCUGGCCAAAGGGCCACAUAGUGUAUAGUUCUAUUUAUAUGAAAUGUCCAGGAAAGACAAAAGCAUAGAGGCAGAAAGCAGACUAGUGCUGUGGGAGGAAUGGGGGAUUUGGGAGGUGAUGGCUAAGGGGUUAUGGGGUUUUGGGGGAGGUAAUAGAAAUGUUUUAAAAUUGGUUGUGAAGGUGGAUGCCCAACUCUGCGAAUACACUAAAAGGCAUCGAAUUGUAUACUUUAAAUAGGUGAAUUGUAUGCUAUGUGAAUUAUAUCUCAAUA